RNAcentral lists this ribosomal RNA (200 nucleotides) under uncultured bacterium. RNAcentral describes it as "partial 16S ribosomal RNA". It matches the Rfam family "Bacterial small subunit ribosomal RNA", at positions 29 to 220 of the family's 1533-position model. The record is from RNAcentral.
AGCGAACGCUGGCGGCAGGCCUAACACAUGCAAGUCGAACGGCAGCAUGGUCUAGCUUGCUAGACUGAUGGCGAGUGGCGAACGGGUGAGUAACGCGUAGGAAUAUGCCUUAAAGGUGGGGGACAACUUGGGGAAACUCAAGCUAAUACCGCAUUAAUUUCUUACGGAAAAAAGCUAGGGUACCUUUUGGCCUGGCGCUU